This 900-nucleotide ribosomal RNA is filed under the name Staphylococcus haemolyticus. RNAcentral's name for it is "bacterial SSU rRNA". It matches the Rfam family "Bacterial small subunit ribosomal RNA", at positions 55 to 935 of the family's 1533-position model. The record is from RNAcentral. Lineage: Bacteria; Bacillati; Bacillota; Bacilli; Caryophanales; Staphylococcaceae.
AUGCAGUCGAGCGAACAGACAAGGAGCUUGCUCCUUAUAACGUUAGCGGCGGACGGGUGAGUAACACGUGGGUAACCUACCUAUAAGACUGGGAUAACUUCGGGAAACCGGAGCUAAUACCGGAUAAUAUUUCGAACCGCAUGGUUCGAUAGUGAAAGAUGGUUUUGCUAUCACUUAUAGAUGGACCCGCGCCGUAUUAGCUAGUUGGUAAGGUAACGGCUUACCAAGGCGACGAUACGUAGCCGACCUGAGAGGGUGAUCGGCCACACUGGAACUGAGACACGGUCCAGACUCCUACGGGAGGCAGCAGUAGGGAAUCUUCCGCAAUGGGCGAAAGCCUGACGGAGCAACGCCGCGUGAGUGAUGAAGGUCUUCGGAUCGUAAAACUCUGUUAUUAGGGAAGAACAUACGUGUAAGUAACUAUGCACGUCUUGACGGUACCUAAUCAGAAAGCCACGGCUAACUACGUGCCAGCAGCCGCGGUAAUACGUAGGUGGCAAGCGUUAUCCGGAAUUAUUGGGCGUAAAGCGCGCGUAGGCGGUUUUUUAAGUCUGAUGUGAAAGCCCACGGCUCAACCGUGGAGGGUCAUUGGAAACUGUAAAACUUGAGUGCAGAAGAGGAAAGUGGAAUUCCAUGUGUAGCGGUGAAAUGCGCAGAGAUAUGGAGGAACACCAGUGGCGAAGGCGACUUUCUGGUCUGUAACUGACGCUGAUGUGCGAAAGCGUGGGGAUCAAACAGGAUUAGAUACCCUGGUAGUCCACGCCGUAAACGAUGAGUGCUAAGUGUUAGGGGGUUUCCGCCCCUUAGUGCUGCAGCUAACGCAUUAAGCACUCCGCCUGGGGGAGUACGACCGCAAGGUUGAAACUCAAGGGAAUUGACGGGGACCCGCACAAGCGGUGG